Molecule: long non-coding RNA, 291 nt
Filed under: Brassica napus (rape)
Lineage: Eukaryota; Viridiplantae; Streptophyta; Magnoliopsida; Brassicales; Brassicaceae
Description: long non-coding RNA (BNAP_LNC005119)
Source: RNAcentral
UCAAAAGUUGUGUGGCAUAAGUUGUUGGGUGGUAAACCCCAAAAAAAAGUAUUAGGGACAAAUGUCUCACAUCGAAAGUUGGAAGAGAUCCUUAGUAAUAUAUAAGAUAGAUGAGACAAUCCACUUAUCACCAAUUGGUUUUAGGUUGGAAGCAUUUCUAGCUUAACAUUGUAUCAGAGCUCGAUCCAAACAGUCCAACCCGAUCCAUAUUGAUCUAGCCCAAAGUUGACCCAUUGAUCCUUGCCCGAGCAUUCCAAGAUUGACGCUCAAAGAGCCAUCAUCUCGAGGGGC